RNAcentral lists this ribosomal RNA (405 nucleotides) under uncultured Chloroflexota bacterium. Its description in RNAcentral is "bacterial SSU rRNA". It matches the Rfam family "Bacterial small subunit ribosomal RNA", at positions 355 to 776 of the family's 1533-position model. RNAcentral also lists the same sequence under 1 other name. Lineage: Bacteria; Bacillati; Chloroflexota. The record is from RNAcentral.
UGAGGAAUAUUGCGCAAUGGGGGGAACCCUGACGCAGCAACGCCGCGUGGAGGACGAAGGUUUUCGGAUUGUAAACUCCUUAACUGGGGGAAGAGGAAGGACGGUACCCCAGGACGAAGACACGGCUAACUAGGUGCCAGCAGCCGCGGUAAUACCUAGGUGUCAAGCGUUAUCCGGAAUUACUGGGCGUAAAGGGUGCGCAGGCGGCGCGACAAGUCCGGCGUGAAAGCUUCUGGCUUAACUGGGAGAGGACGUCGGAAACUGUCGAGCUAGAGUGAAUGAGAGGGGGGCGGAAAUCCCGGUGUAGUGGUGGAAUGCGUAGAUAUCGGGAAGAACACCAGAGGCGAAGGCGGCCUCCUGGCAUUUUACUGACGCUGAGGCACGAAAGCGUGGGUAGCGAACGGG